GAUGAACGCUGGCGGCGUGCCUAAUACAUGCCAGUCGAGCGAACGGACGAGAAGCUUGCUUUUCUGAUGUUAGCGGCGGACGGGUGAGUAACACGUGGAUAACCUACCUAUAAGACUGGGAUAACUUCGGGAAACCGGAGCUAAUACCGGAUAAUAUUUUGAACCGCAUGGUUCAAAAGUGAAAGACGGUCUUGCUGUCACUUAUAGAUGGAUCCGCGCUGCAUUAGCUAGUUGGUAAGGUAACGGCUUACCAAGGCAACGAUGCAUAGCCGACCUGAGAGGGUGAUCGGACACACUGGAACUGAGACACGGUCCAGACUCCUACGGGAGGCAGCAGUAGGGAAUCUUCCGCAAUGGGCGAAAGCCUGACGGAGCAACGCCGCGUGAGUGAUGAAGGUCUUCGGAUCGUAAAACUCUGUUAUUAGGGAAGAACAUAUGUGUAAGUAACUGUGCACAUCUUGACGGUACCUAAUCAGAAAGCCACGGCUAACUACGUG
RNAcentral lists this ribosomal RNA (497 nucleotides) under uncultured bacterium. RNAcentral's name for it is "partial 16S ribosomal RNA". It matches the Rfam family "Bacterial small subunit ribosomal RNA", at positions 28 to 507 of the family's 1533-position model. The record is from RNAcentral.